UGCUUCUCCCUCUGCCUGUGUCUCUGCCUCUCUUUCUCUCUGCAUCUCUAGGAAUAAAUAAAUAAAUAAAUCUUAAAAAAAAAAAAGAUUACUGUUCAGAACAAAGUAUUUCCAUAGAUGUCAAUGGGAAGAAUAGGUUACCGAGAAGACUAUAGGAGAGGGAACAGAAUGGAACCAGUUGUUUUUCUGACUUAUAUUCAAUUUUUUAGGAAUCUCAAAAUCAAGCAAAUGGGUUCCACCACCUGGCCACUUUUUGGAAGACAAUACUCUGGUCCCUGAGGCAAAAGCUGAAUCCUCUGAAUCAGAAUACUUCUCCUGCUAUUCCUCCUUGAGUUAUCUGCUUUCUGCUGGAAUCUCAAAAUCAAGAAAAUGGGAUCCACCACCUGGCCACUUUUUGGGAGACAAUACUCUGGUCCCUGAGGCAAAAGCUGAAUCCUCUGAAUCAGAAUACUUCUCCUGCUAUUCCUCCUUGAGUCAUCUGUCUUCUGCUGGAAUCUCAAAAUCAAGCAAAUGGGAUCCACCACCUGGCCACUUUUUGGAAGACAAUACUCUGGUCCCUGAGGCAAAAGCUGAAUCCUCUGAAUCAGAAUACUUCUCCUGCUAUUCCUCCUUGAGUCAUCUGUCUUCUGCUGGUAAGGGGAAAGGAAAAGCCUGCAAAGUCUGGGCAGAUUAGGGCAGUGGGAGCCUGAACAGACUGGUAGACAUCCAGCUCAGCAUCUCUCAGUGAGUGGGAGAAAGGUACACAUCACACCCAUUUAUAAUGUUAUCCUCAGCUCUUAUUUGGGGAUCUGAGUCUCUUGUUCUUGUAUCACUAGGAACUGAAUACAAACAGUUUUCAUGGGGCAGCCCAGGUGGCUCAGCAGAUUAGGGCCUCAUUCAGCCUGGGGCCUGAUCCAGGAGACCUGGGAUCCAGUGCCAUGUCGGGCUCCCUGCAUGGAGCCUGCUUCUCCCUCUGCCUGUCUCUCUCUCUCUCUCUCUCUCUCUCUCUGUCAUGAAUAAAUAAGUAAAUAAUCUAAAAAAACA
RNAcentral lists this long non-coding RNA (1023 nucleotides) under Vulpes vulpes (red fox). Its description in RNAcentral is "lncRNA (ENSVVUG00000002934.1)". The record is from RNAcentral. Lineage: Eukaryota; Metazoa; Chordata; Mammalia; Carnivora; Canidae.